UACAGAUGUUCAGUGUAAUGAAGGCACUGAGAGAUUCAGAGACAGACUGAAGCUGAAUCAUCAGACUGGAUCUCUGACCAUCAAAAACCAUCAGCAAAACAGAUGCUGGUAAUUAUCGUCUAGAGAUCAACAACAGUGACAAAAAAUACCUUUAAAGUUACUGUCAUUGAUGUUCCUGCUGCUGAACAAGAUGAAAUGAAGAUAAAGACAAACAAGGGAGAAUCUGUCAUUUUACAUUCUGGUGUGUCAAAAAAAAAAAUAUAAUAACUUGAAGUGGUAUUUUAAUGACACUCUCAUCGCUGAAAUCACUGGAGAUCAGAGUGAGAUCUGUACACAUAAUGAGUGUAAAGAGAGAUUCAGAGAUAGACUGGAGCUGGAUCAUCAGACUGGAUCUCUGACCAUCAUGAACAUCACAAACACUGACUCUGGGGUUUAUUAUAGAGAGAUCAGCAGCAGCAAUUUCAGCAUCAUUAGGAGCUUCAGUGUUACUGUCACUGAAUCAGCUCUGUCUUCAGGUCUAUUAGCAGGAAUAUGUGCUGCUUUUACUUUUCUGAUGGCGGGCUGUAGCUGCUGUUUUUGGUUUCAUUUACUUUUGCCGCAGGAGCUCCGGAAAGGGCAAG
Long non-coding RNA from Cyprinus carpio (common carp), 620 nucleotides. RefSeq lists it as uncharacterized. The record is from RefSeq and is a predicted model, not a curated record. Lineage: Eukaryota; Metazoa; Chordata; Actinopteri; Cypriniformes; Cyprinidae. The transcript has 3 exons.